UCAUUUUGGGUUGAAUUUGGGCUGUUUUGGGUCAAUAUGGGUUGAAUUUGGGCUGUUUUAGGGUCAUUUUGGGUUGAAUUUGGGCUGUUUUGGGGUCAUUUUGGGUUGAAUUUGGGCUGUUUUGGGGUCAAUUUGGGUUGUUUUAGGGUCAUUUUGGGCUGUUUUAGGGUCAAUUUGGGCUGAAUUUGGGCUGUUUUCGGGUCAUUUUGGGUUGAAUUUGGGCUGUUUUGGGUCAUUCUGGGUUGAAUUUGGGCUGUUUUGGGUCAUUUUGGGUUGAAUUUGGGCUGUUUUGGGUCAUUUUGGGCUGAAUUUGGGCUGUUUUGGGGUCAUUUUGGGUUGAAUUUGGGCUGUUUUGGGGUCANUUUGGGUUGAAUUUGGGCUGUUUUAGGGUCAAUUUGGGUUGAAUUUGGGCUAUUUUAGGAUCAUUUUGGGUUGAAUUUGGGCUGUUUUGGGGUCAAUUUGGGCUGAAUUUGGGCUAUUUUAGGGUCAUUUGGGGCUGUUUUGGGGUCACUUUGGGUUGAAUUUGGGCUGUUUUGGGUCAUUUUGGGUUGAAUUUGGGCUGUUUUGGGUCAUUUUGGGUUGAAUUUGGGCUGUUUUAGGGUCAUUUUGGGCUGUUUUAGGGGUCAUUUUGGGCUGUUUUGGGGUCAUUUUGGGUUGAAUUUGGGCUGUUUUGGGUCAUUUUGGGUUGAAUUUGGGCUGUUUUGGUACCGACCGACAGUGCUGGAUUUGAGCUCGGCCUCCACAGCAUCGUAAUGAGCCGAAAACUUCUUAUCAAUGUUGGCCUUCAGGGUGUUCUCCUAUGGGGGGGGGGGGUAAUUAACAAGGGCUUAAUUAGUUAAUUAGGGGGGGUUAAUUAAUGAGAAGGGGGUCACCCAUAACCCCCCCACCCAUAGCCUUCCAUAGGACCCCAUAACGACCCCAUAAGCCCCCCCAUAGGACCCCAUAAUGACCCUACCCCAUAACGACCCCAUAAGCUCCCCAUUAGCACCCAUAAUAACCCUAUUAUCCCCCAUAGCCCCUCCUAUGACCCCAUAGGACCCCAUAACCCCCACAUAGGAACCCAUAACCCCCCUAUAGCCUUCCAUAUUCACCCCAUAGAACCCUAUAGGGCCCCAUAGCCCCCCAAAAGAACCNAUAGAACCCUAUAGGGCCCCAUAGCCCCCCAAAAGAACCUCAUAGGCCCCCAUAUCCCCCCAUAAAACCCUAUAGGGACCCAUAGCCCCCAAUAGAACCCUACAGGACCCCAUAAGAACCCCAUAUCCCCCCAUAGAAACCCCAUAUCCCCCCAUAGGGACCCCAUAUCCCCCCCAUAGAGACCCCAUAGGCCCCAUAACCCCCUAUAGUCCCUUCAUAGGACCCCAUAACAACCCUAUCCCCCCCACAGAACCCUAUAGCCCCCAAUAGGACCCCACUGCCCCACAUAAGACCCCAUAACGACCCUAUUACCCCCACAUAGUCCCCCAUAAGUCCCCAUAGCAACCACAUAUCCCCCCAUAGAACCCUAUAAGGACCCCAUAGGCCCCAUAGAACCCCAUAAACCCCCAUAGGGACCCCAUAUCGACCCCAUAUCCCCCUAUAGAGACCCCAUAAAACCCUAUAGAGACCCCAUAGAGACUCCAUAGGCCCCUAUAGGCCUCACAGCCCCCCAUAUCCCCCCAUAGCCCCCCAUAGAACCCUAUAAGCCCCCAUAUCCCCACAUUAACCCUUAUAGGCCCCAUAGGCCCCCUAUCUCCAUCCUAUAGCCCCCCAUAUC
Coturnix japonica (Japanese quail) is the source of this 1753-nucleotide long non-coding RNA. NCBI's taxonomy places the organism in Eukaryota, Metazoa, Chordata, Aves, Galliformes, Phasianidae. The record is from Ensembl.